CGGCCAGACUCCUACGGGAGGCAGCAGUGGGGCCUCUUGCACAAUGGGCGCAAGCCUGCUGCCGCCAUGCCGCUUGUCUGAAGAAGGCCUUCGGGUUGUACCGUCCUUUCAGCGGGGCGGCAGGCGAUCCGGUUCAUAACCUUGUCGCUUGACGUUACCCGCCGAAGAAGCACCGGCUAACUCCGUGCCCGCAGCCGCGGUCCUCCGGAGGGUGCCAGCGUUAAUCGGGAUUACUGGGCGUAAAGCGCACGCAGGCGUUCUGUCAAGGCGGAUGUGAAAGCCCCGGGCUCAACCGGGGAACUGCAUUCGAAACUGGCAGGCUAGAGUCGGGGAGAGGGGGGGAGAAGGCCAGGUGGAGCGGGGAAAUGCGGAGAGAUCUGGAGGAAGACCGGUGGCGAAGGAGGCCCCCUGGACAAAGACUGACGCGCAGGGGCGAAAGCGGGGGGAGCAAACAGGAGGAGAUACCCGAGUAUUA
Molecule: ribosomal RNA, 475 nt
Filed under: uncultured bacterium
Lineage: Bacteria
Description: bacterial SSU rRNA
Rfam family: Bacterial small subunit ribosomal RNA
Source: RNAcentral